AUGCAGGACUUUCAAACGAAUCCUCCAAAAUACUUUUCUCUUGCGGUACCUCUCCUUUGGUGCAUCUCAAGGAGUUGCCAAAGAAAAUACGUCUACAGGCAUAGAUUCAGCAAAUUUGUCUUUUUUGAACACAAACAAGAAUGUAAUGUACCCUCCUCAGCAAAUCCAUCCUGGGGAGGGGCUUUGAAUAAUUCCUCCUCAUAUGCUUUUGGAGGUGCUCCGUAUUACCUGGAUUUUCUGAACCCCAGUGGAUACCAGUAUGUUCCGCAUAUGCCCCUGCCAAAGAACUUUUCUUGUUCACAGAGUUUCCAAAGCUCUCACAGUGCGCAAAGUCUGAUUCCAAAACCAACUUUAGCCCCACCUCCUCCACCAAUUGUUAUUCCACCUCCAAUUCCUCAAGAGAAACAUUUCUACUUCCAGCCUGGGUAUAAUGCUCUGUACACCAAUCCGUAUUACACGAACCCACAGCUCAACGCUUUUUUGAGCAAAGGAGAUCCAAUGAAAAAUUGCUCUGGACUGAAACGUGACCUGACCGGUACUUACACGACCCCAGUCAUGGGAUAUCCAUCAGUCUACCCUAGCUGCUACCCUCCAUCAAAUGUUCCUUUGAACACCUCUCAUAACAAUUUAACUGCUGUCGUACCUCCAGUCCCAAAUCCUGUGAUUAACUUUCCAAACUCCUCUCAGCCAGUCUUAGGACAACCAUCAGUUUCUGAAAGUAAAAAUCUAACACAGAUACCCGUAGCCUCACUACCAGGAGCCUACAAUUUUACCGGCUCCAUUAAUUGUCCUCCUAUGAAAAAAGUCCCUGAUCCUCGUGAUGAAGCAACGUUGAUGGCUGAUGUCGCAAAAAAUAACUGCAACAAAACGCUUCAACAAAAUCAAUCAGUAGUGCCUGACCUUUCAUCCACCACACCUGAAGCAUCAGCCCCAUCUGCUCCAUGUGGAAUUGAAGUGUCAUCACCAGAAAGGAGUCCGAAACCUCCACCUCGUUUGAACAUCACAGGUUUAAUUCCUGAGCGGCUUCUUACCACACUCAAUUCAGCGGCCACCAAUGUAAAGGGAGUUUUUGCACCAAGUCGGGCUGGAAAAAAAGAUAGCUUUGUAGCUCAUUCCUCACAAAUUCUUCCUGAAUUUUUGUCCGCUUUCAUCAAAAAGGAACCAAUUCAGGUUCACAUCAUCACUCGAAGCUCUUUCCAAAGGUACUUUGUGAUACCAGUCAGUAAAUUAGGAGAGUCGCACAGUUUUCACAGUGAACUGAGAGCCUACAUGUCUUCUGAAGGAUGGCAAAACGUUUCACACUUAAUCUUCAGUCAGGUGACAUUUGCGCUCUACAUGAAAAUAUUCAGGAAGCAAAAGAGGGGAAAGAUUCUUUCAGCAGAGUGA
RNAcentral lists this long non-coding RNA (1386 nucleotides) under Bemisia tabaci. RNAcentral describes it as "lncRNA ENSSSA2NGG004404". Lineage: Eukaryota; Metazoa; Arthropoda; Insecta; Hemiptera; Aleyrodidae. The record is from RNAcentral.